This 82-nucleotide transfer RNA is filed under the name Pseudomonadota bacterium. Its description in RNAcentral is "Proteobacteria bacterium (marine metagenome) tRNA-Leu". It matches the Rfam family "tRNA". Rfam says of the family: Transfer RNA (tRNA) molecules are approximately 80 nucleotides in length. Their secondary structure includes four short double-helical elements and three loops (D, anti-codon, and T loops). Further hydrogen bonds mediate the characteristic L-shaped molecular structure. tRNAs have two regions of fundamental functional importance: the anti-codon, which is responsible for specific mRNA codon recognition, and the 3' end, to which the tRNAs corresponding amino acid is attached (by aminoacyl-tRNA synthetases). tRNAs cope with the degeneracy of the genetic code in two manners: having more than one tRNA (with a specific anti-codon) for a particular amino acid; and 'wobble' base-pairing, i.e. permitting non-standard base-pairing at the 3rd anti-codon position. The record is from RNAcentral. Lineage: Bacteria; Pseudomonadati; Pseudomonadota.
GCGAGAAUGGCGGAAUUGGCAGACGCGCUGGACUUAGGAUCCAGUGGGGUAACCCGUGGGGGUUCGAGUCCCCCUUCUCGCA